Long non-coding RNA from Gadus chalcogrammus (walleye pollock), 4893 nucleotides. RefSeq lists it as uncharacterized. NCBI's taxonomy places the organism in Eukaryota, Metazoa, Chordata, Actinopteri, Gadiformes, Gadidae. The record is from RefSeq and is a predicted model, not a curated record. The transcript is spliced from 19 exons.
AUCACACUCACUGCCACUUCUCGUAGAAUACCGCUACCACAAACCACCGGCGUUUGUACCAAUAUACCAGACGACUACAUCCGUUUUACCACACAUUGAAGCAAGACUUCUGCUCUUUGUUCCAGACCAGGACUCUUUCUGAGGAGAGCAGAUGGAGGAGCUGAGACGCUGGAGGACAACUAGGAAUCAACCAACAAGGAUUCCUCAACGUGUUUCUGGAGCGGAGGCGAGCUGAUGGGGGAGCCGUGAAUCUGGAGGAUGACGUCACUCUACCAACAAAGAUUACCAGGACUCUGGCUGAGGAGAGCUGAUGGAGGAGCCAUAAAACCAGGAAUCUGGAGGACUGACGGAGAAGCUGUACAUCUGGAAGGCAAAUCCUGAGGACGAUCAGGACUCUACCAUCAAGGAUUCCUCACACACAUGAGCUGAACCUCACCUGAUCCUGUUUGGUCGGGGGCAGACGCACCUGAGCUGAACCCCACCUGAUCCGGACAUCCUGCUGGUCCCGUCUCCUCAGUUCAUCUGAGCCUCUUCCUCCAGAAGACAUGCUGAGCUCGGCGGUCUGAGGCUGAUGUAUCAAUGACCUCCAGUGGGAGUGAUCUUCUUGACCCCACAUGUAGCCGUGUGCUUCCACACGCCUUUCCCUCACGUCUGUCACUAACCUCAUUACUUCACUACUCUCUACUCCUUCUCCUUCUUCUUCCUUCUCCGUGGUUCGAACCUUUACUCUGAAGGAGAAUCUCCUUGAACCUUUACACUGAAGGAGCGUCUUCCUGUCCUCAGAGGGUUCAGCGUUAGGGUUGAGAGUCAGGGUUUAGAGUCAGGGACAGAGCUGGUCAGGGAGGGCUGGUUUUACAUAAACCUUUUCACUUGCUUUCUGAAUGGUGGUGACAUUUUGAAAAGAUUAAUUUGGGAAAAUGUUUUCCUCUUUUUUUGCUUUACAAAAAUAUGUAUUAAACUUCUGUGUUUGUAACCAGACCAGGUAUCCAUGGCUGAAGGAACUGAUGGUGGAGCCGUGCUGAAAGAGCGGAUGGAGGAGCCGUGCUGACGGCCCUGCCUGGUGGAGGAGCCGUGCUGACGGCCCUGCCUGGUGGAGGAGCCGUGCUGACGGCCCUGCCUGGUGGAGGAGCCGUGCUGACGGCCCUGCCUGGUGGAGGAUGUCUGUCGUGGGGUAGAUGGAGCCUGACUCUGUGACAUCACACUCACUGCCACUUCUCGUAGAAUACUGCUACCACAAACCACCGGCGUUUGUAACAAUAUACCAGACGACUACAUCUGUUUUACCACAUGUUGAAGCAAGACUUCUGCUGUUUGUUCCAGACCAGGACUCUGUCUGAGGAGAGCAGAUGGAGGAGCUGAGAUGCUGGAGGACAACUAGGAAUCGACCAACAAGGAUUCUUCAACGUGUUUCUGGAGCGGAGGCCAGCUGGUAGGGGAGCCGUGAAUCUGGAGGAUGACCAUCACUCUACCAACAAGGAUUACUUUAGGGCCAGACUCGCGCUGUUUGUUCCAGACCAGGACUCUGGCUGAGGAGAGCUGAUGGAGGAGCCAAGACUCUGUAGGACGACAUCACUCCACCAACCAGGAUCCUCACCAGGAGUCUGGAGGACUGACGGAGAAGCUGUACAUCUGGAAGGCAAAUCCUGAGGACGAUCAGGACUCUACCAUCAAGGAUUCCUCACACACAUGAGCUGAACCUCACCUGAUCCUGUUUGGUCGGGGGCAGACGCACCUGAGCUGAACCCCACCUGAUCCGGACAUCCUGCUGGUCCCGUCUCCUCAGUUCAUCUGAGCCUCUUCCUCCAGAAGACAUGCUGAGCUCGGCGGUCUGAGGCUGAUGUAUCAAUGACCUCCAGUGGGAGUGAUCUUCUUGACCCCACAUGUAGCCGUGUGCUUCCACACGCCUUUCCCUCACGUCUGUCACUAACCUCAUUACUUCACUACUCUCUACUCCUUCUCCUUCUUCUUCCUUCUCCGUGGUUCGAACCUUUACUCUGAAGGAGUGUCUCCUUGAACCUUUACACUGAAGGAGCGUCUUCCUGUCCUCGGAGGGUUCAGCGUUAGGGUUGAGAGUCAGGGUUUAGAGUCAGGGACAGAGCUGGUCAGGGAGGGCUGGUUUUACAUAAACCUUUUCACUUGCUUUCUGAAUGGUGGUGACAUUUUGAAAAGAUUAAUUUGGGAAAAUGUUUUCCUCUUUUUUUGCUUUACAAAAAUAUGUAUUAAACUUCUGUGUUUGUAACCAGACCAGGUAUCCAUGGCUGAAGGAGCUGAUGGUGGAGCCGUGCUGAAAGAGCGGAUGGAGGAGCCGUGCUGACGGCCCUGCCUGGUGGAGGAGCCGUGCUGACGGCCCUGCCUGGUGGAGGAGCCGUGCUGACGGCCCUGCCUGGUGGAGGAGCCGUGCUGACGGCCCUGCCUGGUGGAGGAUGUCUGUCGUGGGACCAGGACUCUGUCUGAGGAGAGCAGAUGGAGGAGCUGAGAUGCUGGAGGACAACUAGGAAUCGACCAACAAGGAUUCUUCAACGUGUUUCUGGAGCGGAGGCCAGCUGGUAGGGGAGCCGUGAAUCUGGAGGAUGACCAUCACUCUACCAACAAGGAUUACUUUAGGGCCAGACUCGCGCUGUUUGUUCCAGACCAGGACUCUGGCUGAGGAGAGCUGAUGGAGGAGCCAAGACUCUGUAGGACGACAUCACUCCACCAACCAGGAUCCUCAGACAAAUUACGUUUGUAACCAGACCAGGAAUCUGGAGGACUGACGGAGAAGCUGUACAUCUGGAAGGCAAAUCCUGAGGACGAUCAGGACUCUACCAUCAAGGAUUCCUCACACACAUGAGCUGAACCUCACCUGAUCCUGUUUGGUCGGGGGCAGACGCACCUGAGCUGAACCCCACCUGAUCCGGACAUCCUGCUGGUCCCGUCUCCUCAGUUCAUCUGAGCCUCUUCCUCCAGAAGACAUGCUGAGCUCGGCGGUCUGAGGCUGAUGUAUCAAUGACCUCCAGUGGGAGUGAUCUUCUUGACCCCACAUGUAGCCGUGUGCUUCCACACGCCUUUCCCUCACGUCUGUCACUAACCUCAUUACUUCACUACUCUCUACUCCUUCUCCUUCUUCUUCCUUCUCCGUGGUUCGAACCUUUACUCUGAAGGAGUGUCUCCUUGAACCUUUACACUGAAGGAGCGUCUUCCUGUCCUCAGAGGGUUCAGCGUUAGGGUUGAGAGUCAGGGUUUAGAGUCAGGGACAGAGCUGGUCAGGGAGGGCUGGUUUUACAUAAACCUUUUCACUUGCAUUCUGAAUGGUGGUGACAUUUUGAAAAGAUUAAUUUGGGAAAAUGUUUUCCUCUUUUUUUGCUUUACAAAAAUAUGUAUUAAACUUCUGUGUUUGUAACCAGACCAGGUAUCCAUGGCUGAAGGAGCUGAUGGUGGAGCCGUGCUGAAAGAGCGGAUGGAGGAGCCGGGCUGACGGCCCUGCCUGGUGGAGGAGCCGGGCUGACGGCCCUGCCUGGUGGAGGAGCCGUGCUGACGGCCCUGCCUGGUGGAGGAGCCGUGCUGACGGCCCUGCCUGGUGGAGGAUGUCUGUCGUGGGACCAGGACUCUGUCUGAGGAGAGCAGAUGGAGGAGCUGAGAUGCUGGAGGACAACUAGGAAUCGACCAACAAGGAUUCUUCAACGUGUUUCUGGAGCGGAGGCCAGCUGGUAGGGGAGCCGUGAAUCUGGAGGAUGACCAUCACUCUACCAACAAGGAUUACUUUAGGGCCAGACUCGCGCUGUUUGUUCCAGACCAGGACUCUGGCUGAGGAGAGCUGAUGGCGGAGCCAAGACUCUGUAGGACGACAUCACUCCACCAACCAGGAUCCUCAGACGAAUUACGUUUGUAACCAGACCAGGAAUCUGGAGGACUGAUGGAGAAGCCGUACAUCUGGAAGGCAAAUCCUGAGGACCAGCAGGACUCUACCAUCAAGGAUUCCUCAUAAGUUUGCAUUAUCUGGACAAAGUGGCCUAGACACACCUGAGCUGAACCUCACCUGAUCCUGUUUGGUCGGGGGUAGACACACCUGAGCUAAACCCACCCUGAUCCUGACAUCCUGCUGGUCCAGUCUCCUCAGUUCUCCUGAGCCUCGUCCCAGGCUGAUGGAUCAAUGACCUCCAGUGGGAGGGAUCUUCUUGACCCCACUUGUAACCGUGUGCUUCCACACGCCUUUCCCUCACAUCUGUCACUAACCUCACUACUUCACUACUCUCUACUGCUUCCUCUUUUCUUCCUUCUCUGUGGUUUAAACCUUUUAUACUGAAGGCGCGUCUUCCUGCCCUCAGAGGGUUUAGCGUUAGGGUUGAGAGUCAGGGUUUAGAGUCAGGGACAGAGCUGGUCAGGGAGGACUGCUUUUACACAAACCUCUUGACUUGCUUUCGGAAUGGUGGUGACAUUUUGAAAAGAUUCAUUUGGUAAAAUCUUUUCCUCUGCUUCCCUUUACAAAAUUGUAUCAAACUUCUGUCAAGUGUUUUUGUUUAAAUAUUAAAAUCCCACAUUGACUUCUACAUGUUUGGUGCGGUUCAUUUAUUUGUCCUUUUAACUUGGUUAAUGUCAAGCUAAACUCCUGCAAUACAUUGAUAUACAUGAUUGUUAUUCAACAAUGUUCACAUAAUCCAUUUUGUAAAAAUAGGAAACCCCAAUAUUACUACUAAAUUCAAGCCUAUUCAUGUAUUUAAAGGCCCACUAUGCAAGAUCGGGAAUUUCUUCGCUGUUUUCUUGGUUUGGCACGCACCUUUCUCUACACAGCGCCCCCUACAGCUUCGUAGUAGAUAUUUUACAACACUGUCGUAACAACUCGUUGACGACCCUUCCCCAUGCACUUCUACGCUAGCCAUGUGCAUUUGUUUUCAAAGAAGCCGGCGAAUGCGUGGA